AGCAGCCGCGGUAAUUCCAGCUCCAAUAGCGUAUAUUAAAGUUGUUGCAGUUAAAAAGCUCGUAGUUGAAUUUCAGGGUUAGUAGGUUGGUCAUGCCUCUGGUAUGUACUGGUCUCACUGAUUCCUCCUUCCUGAUGAGCCGUAAUGCCAUUAAUUUGGUGUUGCGGGGAAUCAGGACUGUUACUUUGAAAAAAUUAGAGUGUUUAAAGCAGGCUCACGCUUGAAUACAUUAGCAUGGAAUAAUGAAAUAGGACGUUUGAUUCUAUUUUGUUGGUUUCUAGGAUCGACGUAAUGAUUAAUAGGGAUAGUUGGGGGCAUUAGUAUUCAAUUGUCAGAGGUGAAAUUCUUGGAUUUAUUGAAGACUAACUACUGCGAAAGCAUUUGCCAAGGAUGUUUUCAUUAAUCAAGAACGAAAGUUAGGGGAUCGAAGACGAUCAGAUACCGUCGUAG
This 450-nucleotide ribosomal RNA is filed under the name uncultured Glomeromycotina. Its description in RNAcentral is "SSU rRNA". It matches the Rfam family "Eukaryotic small subunit ribosomal RNA", at positions 569 to 1023 of the family's 1831-position model. Lineage: Eukaryota; Fungi; Glomeromycota. The record is from RNAcentral.